RNAcentral lists this long non-coding RNA (1122 nucleotides) under Homo sapiens (human). Its description in RNAcentral is "long non-coding RNA NONHSAT152976.1". Lineage: Eukaryota; Metazoa; Chordata; Mammalia; Primates; Hominidae. The record is from RNAcentral.
AGUGCCUCAAGGCAGAAGAAGCAGUCUUUUGGAACGUGGUCUUGGAAGUAACAUGUAUCACCUCUACCUGCUUCUGUUGCUAGAAGCAAGUCAUCAGCCUCCAUGCAAGGAGAGGAGACUAUAGGAAACACGAAUACCAGGAGGAGGGGAUCACUGGGUUUCAUCUUAAAGGCUGUCUACUAUAUACUAGAUAAUUGUUAUAAAAAUUAUUCUAAAAUCUUACUGUUCAAGGAGAAAUAAAAAUCAACCAUAAGUUAUUAUUAAGUUUUAAACAAAUCUUUCUCCCUCUCCCCCCUUAAUAAUCCACACUCAUCAGUUUUCUUGCUCUCUUUCUUUUUAGGGAAAAAAUGCAUUUUUCAAAGACCUAACUUCAAUUCAGUUAUUACCUAGUGGGGAAAUGGAUCCAAAUUUUAUUUCUGUACGACAACAGUUCUUAUUGAAAGUUGUCAGUGCAGCUGUCCAGGCCCAACAUUCAGCCACAAAGGUCAAAGAUCCCACAGAAGAGGCCACACCCACUCCUUUUGGGAAAGACCAAGAUUGGCCAGCUCUAGCUGUGGAUUUAGCCCAUCACCUUCAAGUUAGUGAAGAUGUUGUUAGAAGGCAUUAUGUGGGGGAACUAUACAACUAUGGAGUUGACCACUUAGGAGAAGAGGCCAUUCUACAGGUUCAUGACAAAGAGGUCCUUGCCUCUCAGCUGCUGGUGCUCACGGGGCAAAGGCUGGCUCAUGCGCUUCUCCACACCCAGACAAAAGAAGGAAUGGAGCUGCUUGCCAGACUUCCACCCACACUGUGUACUUGGCUGAAAGCAAUGGACCCCCAGGACCUUCAAAACACUGAAGUGCCAAUUGCAACAACAGCUAAACUAGUAAAUAAAGUAAUUGAGCUUUUACCAGAAAAACAUGGGCAAUAUGGUCUAGCCUUACACCUCAUUGAAGCUGUGGAAGCCAUAUCUCUUCCUUCUUUAUGACACUUACCUACUGGAAAUAGUCUAAAAUUAUGAUUAUAACAUGAAGUAGUGCAUGGUUAUUUUACAUAGUAAGACCUGGAAUUUUAUGGGAAAAGUAUGUCUUUUUUUUUCCUUUUGUAAAAUAAAUAAAAGUAUAUACAACUUUUAAAAAGUGC